Molecule: ribosomal RNA, 274 nt
Filed under: uncultured bacterium
Lineage: Bacteria
Description: partial 16S ribosomal RNA
Rfam family: Bacterial small subunit ribosomal RNA
Source: RNAcentral
AUACGUAGGGUGCAAGCGUUGUUCGGAAUCACUGGGCGUAAAGCGCGCGUAGGCGGCUUUGUAAGUCGGAUGUGAAAGCCCUGGGCUUAACCUGGGAAUGGCAUUCGUUACUGCAUAACUAGAGUAUGGUAGAGGGAAGUGGAAUUUCCGGUGUAGCGGUGAAAUGCGUAGAUAUCGGAAGGAACACCAGUGGCGAAGGCGACUUCCUGGACUAACAUUGACGCUGAGGUGCGAAAGCGUGGGGAGCAAACAGGAUUAGAAACCCGAGUAGUCC